AGAUGCAGACCUGAAAAGAGCAUGGGGAUGUAGCUAUGAAGGAAAACAGCUUUUGGUGUCUGAUCUGGGAAUAGUGUCCAGGGGACUGAAAAAAGAAACACCUUUAAAAAUGGCUGAAGUGGGGACUGUCAUUCCUCAAAGGAAUUCCUAAAAGCCCCUAAAGGGCUUUUCCUUUCUUAGGACACAGGCAGUAUUUUAGACAAUAACAACAUUGCCAAGACCUCACAAUGAAACCAGAAGGAUGUGACAGUGAUGUUUUUCAAACAUUUCCGAUAUACCAGCUGGACACUGGUCUGUGCUCUAAAUAUUUUCUCUGCCUUGGGAAACGUAUCUCUGUCCUCAGCUUCAGCAUGAAUUUGCUGAAGCUUUGUGAGGAGCAUAUUGUUAAGAAAACCCCUAUGGAUGAUUCUUGCCAUUUCUUAAUUUUUUAUUUCCUUUCUGUCCCUGGUCACCCAAGAAAGCAGCAACAGCUCCUUUUGUGAUCAUGCAUGGGUUUGUACUCGGAGAGCACCACACACUUUCCAUUGUGCUUUGAAAUAAGGCCAUUUUCCCACUGUUGCCAUGUGGAAGAUAAGACCCUCAGCCUAUGAGGACUACUGUGACUGUAUUUGACCACAGAUGAGAUUAAACUAGGGUAUACAUGGAGCCCCACCUGAGGGCCAGAUGAAUUGUCCCUCCUUGGAGCAGCUGGUCUGCAGUAGGGGACUCUCCCAUUAGUUGGGAGGCUGCCCAAGAUAACUCCUAGAGGUAGAGAGCCCUCGCCUUAUUGGGUGAAUGAUUACACGUUCUUGGUUACCCUUUGAAAACUUAGGAAUUUCUAAGCCAGCUGUUUAUUAGCAAUUCCACUUAACAUCUUGAAUUUGUAAUCAAUCAAUGUUGACAGAGCUUUAACUGCUUUAUAAAAUCAAUCUCAUUUGAGUAUA
Molecule: long non-coding RNA, 923 nt
Organism: Pezoporus occidentalis (night parrot)
Lineage: Eukaryota; Metazoa; Chordata; Aves; Psittaciformes; Psittacidae
Exons: 2
Source: RefSeq, a predicted model, not a curated record